This 514-nucleotide long non-coding RNA is filed under the name Vulpes vulpes (red fox). Its description in RNAcentral is "lncRNA (ENSVVUG00000030329.1)". Lineage: Eukaryota; Metazoa; Chordata; Mammalia; Carnivora; Canidae. The record is from RNAcentral.
AAAGCAACAAAGGGAGCUCAAGUGGAGACUUCCUCAGCAAAAGCAUUGCACUGCUUAAAUGAUUCAGCUUUUGAGUGAAAUGAAAGGCGGGACUAAGACCAGGAAGAACCACGACCUACCCUACUCCGGAGUACGGACCCCAGGAGGACUAACAGCCUCUGGGCUCUCGAACAGCACAGAGUGUAAGGGGUUCGGGAGGAGGGAUUUCACUCCGGCGAAUUUUCAGGACAAAGAAAAACCUGUACCAAUCCUCUUUCCUUUUAACCAAAUCUAAUAUGUCCAAAUGCAUUAGUACUCUCUAUUUCCUCCAAAGAUAAUUGGCAGACAUCGAUGUCUCUCCUUUUAAGUAACUGCCAAAGAGUACACUAAAAAGCUCUAGGGAAUCUGGUAAGCCAUUUGUAAUGAUGUCAAUAGGUUUAAAUAUCACACUAACAAUGAAUCACUCUUCCAUUAACAAAAUUAUUUCUAAAACUGCCAUCAUCAUUAUUUCAAUAAAUGUGCAUUUGUUAUAUCA